AGGGAAUUUUCCACAAUGGACGCAAGUCUGAUGGAGCAACGCCGCGUGAACGAUGAAGGUCUUCGGAUUGUAAAGUUCUGUUGUUAGGGACGAAACCGUACCGUUCGAAUAGGGCGGUACCUUGACGGUACCUAAUUAGAAAGCCACGGCUAACUACGUGCCAGCAGCCGCGGUAAUACGUAGGUGGCAAGCGUUGUCCGGAAUUAUUGGGCGUAAAGCGCGCGCAGGCGGCUAUGUAAGUCUGAUGUUAAAGCCCGAGGCUCAACCUCGGUUCGCAUUGGAAACUGUGUAGCUUGAGUGCAGAAGAGGAAAGCGGUAUUCCACGUGUAGCGGUGAAAUGCGUAGAGAUGUGGAGGAACACCAGUGGCGAAGGCGGCUUUCUGGUCUGUAACUGACGCUGAGGCGCGAAAGCGUGGGGAGCAAAC
RNAcentral lists this ribosomal RNA (425 nucleotides) under uncultured bacterium. RNAcentral describes it as "bacterial SSU rRNA". It matches the Rfam family "Bacterial small subunit ribosomal RNA", at positions 356 to 773 of the family's 1533-position model. The record is from RNAcentral.